UAAGGGAAAUUGAGUCAGCCAUUAAGAAGGAUAGUAACACACAGCUGCAGAUUCCCCAACAUGUGACACACAUAUUUUCAUAGUAGUAGACCAUUGACAUAUGGAUGUGGGGAACGUUUACAGAAAAGUUCACGGUCCAGCCAGAAAGAAGAGGAAGGCUGCAAUUUAAGAGAUGGAGUACAGCUUUGUGAAUACGGCCCAAAGCAUUGGAAUCUGUUGAGCGCCUCAGAAUACUGAAUUUCGAAUGCCUAUUAAAGAAUUCCUUUGGGACUCCUGCCGGUGGAAUGGACGUGCCUGGUGGGAUGGUCUGCGG
This is a long non-coding RNA of Amblyraja radiata (thorny skate), 313 nucleotides long. RefSeq lists it as uncharacterized. The transcript has 3 exons. Lineage: Eukaryota; Metazoa; Chordata; Chondrichthyes; Rajiformes; Rajidae. The record is from RefSeq and is a predicted model, not a curated record.